RNAcentral lists this ribosomal RNA (749 nucleotides) under Escherichia coli. RNAcentral describes it as "partial 23S ribosomal RNA". It matches the Rfam family "Bacterial large subunit ribosomal RNA", at positions 2194 to 2925 of the family's 2925-position model. Lineage: Bacteria; Pseudomonadati; Pseudomonadota; Gammaproteobacteria; Enterobacterales; Enterobacteriaceae. The record is from RNAcentral.
GAAAUACCACCCUUUAAUGUUUGAUGUUCUAACGUGGGCCCGUAAUCCGGGUUGCGGACAGUGUCUGGUGGGUAGUUUGACUGGGGCGGUCUCCUCCUAAAGAGUAACGGAGGAGCACGAAGGUUGGCUAAUCCUGGUCGGACAUCAGGAGGUUAGUGCAAUGGCAUAAGCCAGCUUGACUGCGAGCGUGACGGCGCGAGCAGGUGCGAAAGCAGGUCAUAGUGAUCCGGUGGUUCUGAAUGGAAGGGCCAUCGCUCAACGGAUAAAAGGUACUCCGGGGAUAACAGGCUGAUACCGCCCAAGAGUUCAUAUCGACGGCGGUGUUUGGCACCUCGAUGUCGGCUCAUCACAUCCUGGGGCUGAAGUAGGUCCCAAGGGUAUGGCUGUUCGCCAUUUAAAGUGGUACGCGAGCUGGGUUUAGAACGUCGUGAGACAGUUCGGUCCCUAUCUGCCGUGGGCGCUGGAGAACUGAGGGGGGCUGCUCCUAGUACGAGAGGACCGGAGUGGACGCAUCACUGGUGUUCGGGUUGUCAUGCCAAUGGCACUGCCCGGUAGCUAAAUGCGGAAGAGAUAAGUGCUGAAAGCAUCUAAGCACGAAACUUGCCCCGAGAUGAGUUCUCCCUGACCCUUUAAGGGUCCUGAAGGAACGUUGAAGACGACGACGUUGAUAGGCCGGGUGUGUAAGCGCAGCGAUGCGUUGAGCUAACCGGUACUAAUGAACCGUGAGGCUUAACCUUACAACGCCGAAG